UUAGUACUCCUUCCGUCCCAAAAUUCUUGUAUUAGAUUUGUCUAGAUACAGAUGUAUCUAAUACUAAAAUAAUUUGAUAUAUCCGUAUUUAAAUAAAUUUAAGACAAGAAUUUUGAGAUGGAGGGAAUAGGUU
Non-coding RNA from Triticum aestivum (bread wheat), 133 nucleotides. NCBI's taxonomy places the organism in Eukaryota, Viridiplantae, Streptophyta, Magnoliopsida, Poales, Poaceae. The record is from Rfam.